Non-coding RNA from Pantoea dispersa, 80 nucleotides. Lineage: Bacteria; Pseudomonadati; Pseudomonadota; Gammaproteobacteria; Enterobacterales; Erwiniaceae. The record is from Rfam.
GUGAACCAUCGUGAUGUGGUUAUUUCAAUCGGUAAGGUAUUGAUUGAACAGGGCAAUGUUUUCAUUGCCCUUUAUUUUGU